CCUACGUGAGACAGCAGUGAGGAAUAUUGGUCAAUGGGCGCGAGCCUGAACCAGCCAAGUCGCGUGAGGGAAGACGGUCCUAUGGAUUGUAAACCUCUUUUGUCGGGGAGCAAAAGACGCCACGCGUGGCGUUCCGAGAGUACCCGAAGAAAAAGCAUCGGCUAACUCCGUGCCAGCAGCCGCGGUAAUACGGAGGAUGCGAGCGUUAUCCGGAUUUAUUGGGUUUAAAGGGUGCGCAGGCGGAAGAUCAAGUCAGCGGCAAAAUUGAGAGGCUCAACCUCUUCGAGCCGUUGAAACUGGUUUUCUUGAGUGAGCGAGAAGUAUGCGGAAUGCGUGGUGUAGCGGUGAAAUGCAUAGAUAUCACGCAGAACUCCGAUUGCGAAGGCAGCAUACCGGCGCUCAACUGACGCUCAUGCACGAAAGCGUGGGUAUCGAACAGGAUUAGAUACCCUAGUAGUC
This 459-nucleotide ribosomal RNA is filed under the name uncultured bacterium. RNAcentral's name for it is "partial 16S ribosomal RNA". It matches the Rfam family "Bacterial small subunit ribosomal RNA", at positions 338 to 795 of the family's 1533-position model. The record is from RNAcentral.